UACGAAGGGGGCUAGCGUUGCUCGGAAUUACUGGGCGUAAAGCGCACGUAGGCGGCUUCUUAAGUCGGUGGUGAAAUCCUGGAGCUCAACUCCAGAACUGCCCUCGAUACUGGGAAGCUCGAGUCCGGGAGAGGUGAGUGGAACUGCGAGUGUAGAGGUGAAAUUCGUAGAUAUUCGCAAGAACACCAGUGGCGAAGGCGGCUCACUGGCCCGGUACUGACGCUGAGGUGCGAAAGCGUGGGGAGCAAACAGG
This 253-nucleotide ribosomal RNA is filed under the name uncultured bacterium. Its description in RNAcentral is "partial 16S ribosomal RNA". It matches the Rfam family "Bacterial small subunit ribosomal RNA", at positions 524 to 776 of the family's 1533-position model. The record is from RNAcentral.